AUUUAAUAAACAAUUUGGCACAAUUACCCUUCACUUUCUAACUACACACUAAUUUCCAUACCUAUAUUAAUGUUAAGGGUGAUAUGAGAAUUAAAAAAUAUAGUUGUCCAAACAUUAAUGAAUGGGACCCACAUUUGAAGUAAAAUGUCGUGUGCUGUUUAUUUUUUUUCUUACCACAUAAAUUUCGCACAAUACUCUUCUAUCAAUUCAAUCAUUUUCUUUCUAAAUUCUAGCCAUUGUUUUGCAGAACGAAUUCUCUCCAAAAUCUUGUUUUCUCUGAAAAAAAAAGGGUCGUCCUUCUACCAUUAUUCGCUUUUGCCUUUAGCCUAAUUCGUGUUUUCUCAUCAUCAAUAGUGGAGAAGAAAAUUCUAGAAGUUGCAACAAUUAUUUUGGGUAUGUUCUUCUUAUAAUUUUUCUUUUUUGUGUAUUUCUUUUUUUAUUUUCUUACUAUUUAUUUAAGGUACGUAGUUUUCCUUUGUCUGUAGAUGAAAAUCUAGCUGGGUUCGUCUUCCUUUAGCUCCAUAUAAGGUAUGUUCUCGUUUCUGUACAUGCAUGAAAAUAUAUCUACGUUUACAUAUUCAUGGUUCAUGAGGUUGAAGGUCAUGAAUUUUCGCCGUUUCGAAGCUGGUGAGGAAUCAACUAUCAUCAUUCAUAGCCAACUUCAACAAUUUCAAAUCACUAUUUCACUCCAUUUUUCAUUCACUGUAGAAGAAAAUGAAAUUGCACUGGACGCAAAAAAAAAAUGUUAAUAGAGGGUGAAAAUUAUAUAGAUGUGUACAUACACAUUUACAUACAUACAUGUUUACGUGUGUGAGGAGAGGGGAUUACUUUUCUUCGUAUAGAAUAUAUUUUAUUUAAUUAGUAUAUAAUAAUAAAAUAGUAUCUGCCUUUACUAUAAGAGAGGAGAUUGUCCAAGUUAUUGUUUAUGUUUGGCACAAUUUCACACGUAACCAGUUUCUUCCUUUAGUAUGUAGACUAGAGAUAUUUUUUUCUUAUUCUUAUCUAAUAUGAAAAUUAUUUAAGUUGAAAACGCCUAACUUUGUAUGAACUUUAAAAAUUCUUUAAAAUAUAUGUGUUGGGGACAUGUAAAUUUAUAUUAACUUUAAAGAUGAAUAAAAUUUGAAUUGAAGGCGCCGUGUAGUAUUUAGUGCCAUGCCUUGAUUUUUUAUAAAUUGAUAGAUGACCGUGGUAGAUAGAAGUCUUGUCUAAAUUAAAUAGUUAUAAUGGAAGUGUAUUUAUAGGGAAAUUUAUUCUGUAGGUUGCUUUGAAUUAGAAUUUCGAAUGUUCCAAGAGAGAAGCUAGAGUACCAUACUUUUUCAUUGAAAAAGAUACUUUGUUAGAGCUUAUUAAGGUAGAAAUUCAUAGAUGGAAAUCUUUUAUUACUUGCUGCUCGAAUUCUUUUGUGUAUUUCCAGUCGUCCACUUAUGAAUUUAUUAAGUUUAUGAUUAUUGAUAAAUUACUUACAUUAUAACUUUAGAAAUAGAUUGCAUAUGUAGGUUGAUUGGGUGGAAGCAAAACCACUAAAUUUAUAGAUGAAAAAUAUUUUCUUUUUAGAAGUCUUUAUUUUCUUACUCUUCGGUAGUAGUAUAGCAAAAACUUUUACAGCAUUACAAUAGUAUUUAUGUUUUUUUUUAAAAAACUAUUAAUUUUACAAGAAUCAUAUAAAAAUGUUAAUCUUUUAUUCCUGCUUUUACAUCAUAUAAGUCUUAUUAAAAUUUUAUUUCAUCAAUAGUUCAGUCAACAAUGUUUAUAUUUAUUGUUAUUGCUUUGAAGUAAACAAUUUUUUUUUUAUUAAACUUCAGCUUUAUGCAUGUUUUUAAUGUUGUGAGAGUCUGGUUCACU
Molecule: long non-coding RNA, 1842 nt
Filed under: Olea europaea subsp. europaea
Lineage: Eukaryota; Viridiplantae; Streptophyta; Magnoliopsida; Lamiales; Oleaceae
Source: RNAcentral